GUGGGGAAUUUUGGACAAUGGGCGCAAGCCUGAUCCAGCAAUGCCGCGUGCAGGAAGAAGGCCUUCGGGUUGUAAACUGCUUUUGUACGGAACGAAACGGUCCUGGUUAAUACCUGGGGCUAAUGACGGUACCGUAAGAAUAAGCACCGGCUAACUACGUGCCAGCAGCCGCGGUAAUACGUAGGGUGCGAGCGUUAAUCGGAAUUACUGGGCGUAAAGCGUGCGCAGGCGGUGCUGUAAGACAGGCGUGAAAUCCCCGGGGUCAACCUGGGAACUGCAUUUGUGACUGCAGAGCUAGAGGACGGCAGAGGGGGAUGGAAUUCCGCGUGUAGCAGUGAAAUGCGUAGAUAUGCGGAGGAACACCGAUGGCGAAGGCAAUCCCCUGGGCCUGUACUGACGCUCAUGCACGAAAGCGUGGGGAGCAAACAGGAUUAGAAACCCUAGUAGUCC
This 450-nucleotide ribosomal RNA is filed under the name uncultured bacterium. RNAcentral describes it as "partial 16S ribosomal RNA". It matches the Rfam family "Bacterial small subunit ribosomal RNA", at positions 354 to 796 of the family's 1533-position model. The record is from RNAcentral.